RNAcentral lists this ribosomal RNA (2236 nucleotides) under Escherichia coli. Its description in RNAcentral is "bacterial LSU rRNA". It matches the Rfam family "Bacterial large subunit ribosomal RNA", at positions 591 to 2812 of the family's 2925-position model. The record is from RNAcentral. Lineage: Bacteria; Pseudomonadati; Pseudomonadota; Gammaproteobacteria; Enterobacterales; Enterobacteriaceae.
GUGUGACUGCGUACCUUUUGUAUAAUGGGUCAGCGACUUAUAUUCUGUAGCAAGGUUAACCGAAUAGGGGAGCCGAAGGGAAACCGAGUCUUAACUGGGCGUUAAGUUGCAGGGUAUAGACCCGAAACCCGGUGAUCUAGCCAUGGGCAGGUUGAAGGUUGGGUAACACUAACUGGAGGACCGAACCGACUAAUGUUGAAAAAUUAGCGGAUGACUUGUGGCUGGGGGUGAAAGGCCAAUCAAACCGGGAGAUAGCUGGUUCUCCCCGAAAGCUAUUUAGGUAGCGCCUCGUGAAUUCAUCUCCGGGGGUAGAGCACUGUUUCGGCAAGGGGGUCAUCCCGACUUACCAACCCGAUGCAAACUGCGAAUACCGGAGAAUGUUAUCACGGGAGACACACGGCGGGUGCUAACGUCCGUCGUGAAGAGGGAAACAACCCAGACCGCCAGCUAAGGUCCCAAAGUCAUGGUUAAGUGGGAAACGAUGUGGGAAGGCCCAGACAGCCAGGAUGUUGGCUUAGAAGCAGCCAUCAUUUAAAGAAAGCGUAAUAGCUCACUGGUCGAGUCGGCCUGCGCGGAAGAUGUAACGGGGCUAAACCAUGCACCGAAGCUGCGGCAGCGACGCUUAUGCGUUGUUGGGUAGGGGAGCGUUCUGUAAGCCUGCGAAGGUGUGCUGUGAGGCAUGCUGGAGGUAUCAGAAGUGCGAAUGCUGACAUAAGUAACGAUAAAGCGGGUGAAAAGCCCGCUCGCCGGAAGACCAAGGGUUCCUGUCCAACGUUAAUCGGGGCAGGGUGAGUCGACCCCUAAGGCGAGGCCGAAAGGCGUAGUCGAUGGGAAACAGGUUAAUAUUCCUGUACUUGGUGUUACUGCGAAGGGGGGACGGAGAAGGCUAUGUUGGCCGGGCGACGGUUGUCCCGGUUUAAGCGUGUAGGCUGGUUUUCCAGGCAAAUCCGGAAAAUCAAGGCUGAGGCGUGAUGACGAGGCACUACGGUGCUGAAGCAACAAAUGCCCUGCUUCCAGGAAAAGCCUCUAAGCAUCAGGUAACAUCAAAUCGUACCCCAAACCGACACAGGUGGUCAGGUAGAGAAUACCAAGGCGCUUGAGAGAACUCGGGUGAAGGAACUAGGCAAAAUGGUGCCGUAACUUCGGGAGAAGGCACGCUGAUAUGUAGGUGAAGUCCCUUGCGGAUGGAGCUGAAAUCAGUCGAAGAUACCAGCUGGCUGCAACUGUUUAUUAAAAACACAGCACUGUGCAAACACGAAAGUGGACGUAUACGGUGUGACGCCUGCCCGGUGCCGGAAGGUUAAUUGAUGGGGUCAGCGCAAGCGAAGCUCUUGAUCGAAGCCCCGGUAAACGGCGGCCGUAACUAUAACGGUCCUAAGGUAGCGAAAUUCCUUGUCGGGUAAGUUCCGACCUGCACGAAUGGCGUAAUGAUGGCCAGGCUGUCUCCACCCGAGACUCAGUGAAAUUGAACUCGCUGUGAAGAUGCAGUGUACCCGCGGCAAGACGGAAAGACCCCGUGAACCUUUACUAUAGCUUGACACUGAACAUUGAGCCUUGAUGUGUAGGAUAGGUGGGAGGCUUUGAAGUGUGGACGCCAGUCUGCAUGGAGCCGACCUUGAAAUACCACCCUUUAAUGUUUGAUGUUCUAACGUUGACCCGUAAUCCGGGUUGCGGACAGUGUCUGGUGGGUAGUUUGACUGGGGCGGUCUCCUCCUAAAGAGUAACGGAGGAGCACGAAGGUUGGCUAAUCCUGGUCGGACAUCAGGAGGUUAGUGCAAUGGCAUAAGCCAGCUUGACUGCGAGCGUGACGGCGCGAGCAGGUGCGAAAGCAGGUCAUAGUGAUCCGGUGGUUCUGAAUGGAAGGGCCAUCGCUCAACGGAUAAAAGGUACUCCGGGGAUAACAGGCUGAUACCGCCCAAGAGUUCAUAUCGACGGCGGUGUUUGGCACCUCGAUGUCGGCUCAUCACAUCCUGGGGCUGAAGUAGGUCCCAAGGGUAUGGCUGUUCGCCAUUUAAAGUGGUACGCGAGCUGGGUUUAGAACGUCGUGAGACAGUUCGGUCCCUAUCUGCCGUGGGCGCUGGAGAAUUGAGGGGGGCUGCUCCUAGUACGAGAGGACCGGAGUGGACGCAUCACUGGUGUUCGGGUUGUCAUGCCAAUGGCACUGCCCGGUAGCUAAAUGCGGAAGAGAUAAGUGCUGAAAGCAUCUAAGCACGAAACUUGCCCCGAGAUGAGUUCU